CUAUUUCGUUCUCUUAUUUCUUAGUAAUUAAAUUAUUGUUUUGGAUGAUAAAAAAUGAACAAAAGGAUUGGAGUUUACCAGUGACAUUCAGAAUUUACCUUUGAACAAUUUUAAGACUGUUUAAUUACUAAACAGAAACUUAAAGGUUAUUAUAAGAAAAACGGAAGUUUACAUAACUCAUCAACGAGUUAGUUCCAUAUCCUCUGCAUCUCUGGCCGGUUCACUCCUGGCGCUGCCGAAACUAAAGCCUUACUCGAUCCACGACAUGGACAACGACGUGGUGAUGGAAACCGAAGAAGAUCGAAUCGAAGAAGAAAUUGAAGAAUGUAUUGAUGAAGAACUAGAGCAAAUGAGUCAUACACUCGACGACUCUGAAGAAGACGACGAUAAAAAACAAUGCAAUGAUUUGACAAAACUAUUCGUCCGGGAGAUCAUCCCUGAAAAUGAUGACGAGUCAGAAAUUGAAGAGGAAUUCGAAGAGAC
Pectinophora gossypiella (pink bollworm) is the source of this 483-nucleotide long non-coding RNA. RefSeq lists it as uncharacterized. The record is from RefSeq and is a predicted model, not a curated record. The transcript is spliced from 3 exons. Lineage: Eukaryota; Metazoa; Arthropoda; Insecta; Lepidoptera; Gelechiidae.